GCAGUGUGGCGCCGAGCGCAGGCGCAUAUGGCCUGCGUGGCCACCUCCUGGGGCGGGGACUGCUUGAGCGAGCUUCUCAGAAAACCUGUGGCCGAGGGCUGGAGACGUUAAGGGAAGGGGGCGUAGACACUCCCAUCCCCACCCUGGGAACACAAGAACAAGCUGUCGCCCUGGGGGUUGGAGUCGGACGCCAGAGUUGUGAAGUAGAUUUUCCGUAGACACUGCCUCCUUCCCUCACGUGUUCAUUAAAAGUUCUCCACGUGUGGAAACAGCCAUUUGCUCCCCACCAGGUGCCAGCAAGUUCUCGAGUGGGAGGAGUCAGCUUUCCCGCCGUCCCCAACUCCCACCCGACCUUUUCCCCGAAUCCGCCCCCGGCUCCGCCCCUACCGGACCUGCCUUUGGAAGGACCAGUUUUGCUUAAAAGAUAGCUCACUAGAAGAAAACUAAAGGCUCGAGGAACUAACAACGAUGUAUUAACAGAUUGUUUCUGGCUUGUAGGAUUCUUACAUUGCUCUCAUAAGCAGAAAAACAAUAAACGUUAUGGUUAAAA
Suricata suricatta (meerkat) is the source of this 550-nucleotide long non-coding RNA. RefSeq lists it as uncharacterized. NCBI's taxonomy places the organism in Eukaryota, Metazoa, Chordata, Mammalia, Carnivora, Herpestidae. The record is from RefSeq and is a predicted model, not a curated record. The transcript is spliced from 2 exons.